CCGCAUCUAAACAAUAUCGGUUUUACGUAAAGUAAAUUAAUAGGGAAUCGUGUGCAAAUCACGAGCUGUCGCGCAACUGUAAGUAAUGCGAACGUUUUGUUAAAUAAAUCCACUGUUUCUUCAACGAAAUGGGAAGGAAAAUAAAACGGUUACAAGCCAGGAGACCUGCCUUUAUUGCAAUGUCAAU
This 187-nucleotide non-coding RNA is filed under the name Soonwooa buanensis. The record is from RNAcentral. Lineage: Bacteria; Pseudomonadati; Bacteroidota; Flavobacteriia; Flavobacteriales; Weeksellaceae.